This is an RNA transcript of Gorilla gorilla gorilla (western lowland gorilla), 1935 nucleotides long. It is a transcript of the gene named enkurin, TRPC channel interacting protein, with no coding region annotated. Lineage: Eukaryota; Metazoa; Chordata; Mammalia; Primates; Hominidae. The record is from RefSeq and is a predicted model, not a curated record. The transcript is spliced from 6 exons.
UUUUUCUUUUUCCCCAGAUACACAGAAAUAGAAAAGAGCACAAUUUUUAAGGGGACAUCAUUUUCACCCCGUUAACUUUCAAAGGCACGUAAAAACAGUGGCUUCCAAAUGAGCUUCUCUAGCAGAAAGCGCUGCAGAAAGAGGGAAGAGGGGAGACCUAGUUUGCAGUGCUGCCUGCCAGUUCCUCGUUGCCUAGUAACGGUUUCCACGGCAACCACACAGUCAACGACGCUCAGCAAUCCGGAGAGAAACAGGGUGUUUUCUUCCCGAGAGAGGACUGCUAAGAGGGGGUUAAAGGGGGACGAUGUGAAGGAGAGAACCUGUGGUCCUUGAGAAGGCUAAGAAGUAAAAAAGGGGAAGCAGUGAAGAAAGGGACGGAGAUACUGGGACAGGGAGAAAAAAGUUGUGGAGAGUAGCUUUUAAGGAGUCAUUUGGUGGACAUGGAUCCAACGUGCCCUUCUGAGUGCAUUUAUAACCUCAUACCCAGUGACUUGAAGGAGCCUCCCCAGCCUCCUAGGUACAUAUCCAUUUUUAAGGCAACUGUAAAAGAUGACAUGCAAAAAGCUAAAACUGCAAUGAAAACUAUGGGACCGGCAAAAGUUGAAGUACCUUCUCCAAAGGAUUUCCUAAAGAAACAUUCGAAGGAAAAAACUCUACCACCCAAAAAAAAGUUUGAUCGGAACAUGCCCAAAAAGCCUGCUGUGCCAUUGAAGACUGAUCAUCCUGUCAUGGGAAUACAGAGUGGAAAAAAUUUUAUAAAUACAAAUGCAGCCGAUGUCAUCAUGGGAGUGGCUAAAAAGCCUAAACCAAUUUAUGUUGAUAAAAUAACUGGAGACAAGCAUGAUCUUGAGCCUUCAGGACUAGUUCCAAAGUACAUCAAUAAAAAGGAUUAUGGUGUCACACCUGAAUACAUAUGUAAGCGAAACGAGGAAAUAAAGAAAGCCCAAGAAGACUAUGAUCGUUAUAUCCAGGAAAACCUUAAGAAAGCAGCUAUGAAAAGGCUCUCCGAUGAAGAAAGGGAGGCAGUUUUGCAGGGGCUGAAAAAGAACUGGGAAGAGGUGCAUAAAGAAUUCCAGUCCCUCUCGGUCUUUAUAGAUUCUAUACCAAAGAAGAUCCGCAAGCAGAGACUGGAAGAAGAAAUGAAACAACUAGAACACGACAUUGGCAUAAUUGAAAAGCACAAGAUUAUUUAUAUUGCCAAUAAGUAAGAAUGGAUCUUUAAAGUAUAACAAUUUCAAUGUAGGGGAAAAAAACAUGGAAAAUAUAAAAAACUCCAAGUUGUUCAAAAAGGAAGAUACUAUGAAGAGAAUAAAAAUAGUCUUAAUCAGAAUCCUUAGGCAAUAUGCAAAGAAUAAUUGAGUUAUUCACUUACACAAGAAGAAAUUUUGUUUUUACUAGUGUCACGUUUUCCACAUAUAAACUAUUAAAUUUGAGAAUAUGUGUUCCAGUUCCACAAUGUAACUCAUUAUUAUUAUGUACUUGUUUCACAUAAACAUUAAUUUCUAGGUCCUGAAAAAUAAAGUCAGCACUCAGAACUUCACUUUUUUUUUUUUUCUGCACCGCAUGAUACCAACAGCACAACUUUGAAAACUAGCCUUGAGAGGGAAGCAUUCCCAUCCAUUGUUCCUGGAAAGGUGAUCCCUACCAUGGGAUCCCAACCUUGGAUAGAGCCAGUUCAACCUCCCCCAAUCCAUACACAUACAUACCUAGGUCAUCCUAUCACCCAAAAGAGGGACAAACAUCUGACUUGGACAGCUGGCCAGUGACUGAUCAGAUUCUCUCUCUCUUGAGAGCAUGAAUUAAGAGACAUGGAGACUGCAGUCACUUGGGAGUAGACACCUGAAACUAAAAAGUCAAACUUCGUUAUGCAGCUAGUUUGACUUGGUUUCUCUUCCUGUUCAAAGGAAGAAUGGGUAGAAUAAAGAUUUGAUGUGG